UCUAACAAUUAUCUUUGAAAAAAACAAACUUAAACCCAUUCUACCAACACUGCCUUACUAUCAUUUGCUCAAUCAAAACCCUAGCCACCAUUCCCCUUCUACUCGUUUAUCAAGAGGCUGCUACCAAUUUUCAUCGUUGUAGGCGACAAUGAUCUACGCGUCAACUCUCCGUUGUUCCGUUCCUUUCUUAGCCAGAAAGGAGGCUCCUCUGAUAAGAGAUGAUGAUCAAUGUACGAUGGGCUCUACCGGCGGUGAUUUAGGGCGAAAUCGCAAACCGUUAGGGGUGAUAGUCAGUAAUCAAGGCGGCGAUAGGCGAUUAAGCUGGCGCCAAGCGCAGGCGGUCGAUGUUGAGGCAUGAUACACAAUAUGCAUCCGAGCUGGCCGUAAGAAUAAUGAUCUAGGUGAUGUUGGCGAAGACACCUAUCAUCACACCUUCUUUGAGAUGCUUGAUAUCUGGUCAUUUGGUGAUUAUUAUAAAGAAGCCAUCAGAUGGGCAUAGGAGCUUCUCACAGUGCUACCUAUUGAUCGAGGCAAAGGAAGUUACCGACCAAAUCUCAUGUCAGUUAACAAAUUCUGUUGGUAUACCUGAUGCUCCGGUCAAUGUUGGUGACGAGACAAACAAAGAUAAAAGAAGUUACGAAGAUCAUCAAGUUAUAUUUGAAGGAAAAAAUCUUAGUUCCAGUUGGUCCUAGCUUAGGGGCUCGGUAUCGAUUUUGAGAUAAAUCCUAACAUUAACUUGAAAUUAUUGUUAUCACUUUGACACCAUUGGUGGUGACUGAAUAGAGGGUUUGUGAUUUAUAUAUUUUUUAGCUCAAAAUAUCCAAAUUUUAAUAAAAUUGCUUGAUGUAUUUCUGGAAAACCUUUUUUAUUGUAAAUGUUUUUUUUCUCAGCAAAUGUUUAUAAGACGGUGUUAAAAAAUAUUUGUUUUAAUUAAUAUUUGAAAUGUUUUGAUAUUAAAAGACGGUGUUCAUGAAGUUUAAGCCGGUGUUAAAAUUGAACACCGUCUAAUAAGACUUGAUUUUAAACCGGUGUACUUUAAGAUGGUGUUGAAAACACCGUCUUAAAACCCAUAUCACCCUGUCUAAAGAUCUGUUUUGUAGUAGUGUGACGUACUAUGUGGGAUAGCCUAGGGAGUGGGCAAGCCGCACCCCGCGAUGCGACAACGAAGACAAUUUACCAUUUUGUACUCGUUUUCUGUUAGUUUAUCAAUUCUCUCGCAAAAUAUUGAUUGUAUAAUACGUCUGUUAGUUUUUUUAUUCGUAGAAUUGAUGAAUGGAAU
Molecule: long non-coding RNA, 1279 nt
Organism: Helianthus annuus (common sunflower)
Lineage: Eukaryota; Viridiplantae; Streptophyta; Magnoliopsida; Asterales; Asteraceae
Exons: 4
Source: RefSeq, a predicted model, not a curated record